AAUAAGUAUAGUUUUACACUAUUCACGUUCAACGUUUGACCGUUCGUCUUAUUUGAAAUUUUUUUAUGAUUAGUAUUUUUAUUGCUAUUAGAUGAUAAAACAUGAAUAGUAAAUAUUUUCAAUUUUUUCACAAAAUUUUCAAAUAAGACGGACAGUCAAACGUUAGACGCGAAUAUCUACGGCUGCACUUAUU
Non-coding RNA from Oryza nivara, 193 nucleotides. NCBI's taxonomy places the organism in Eukaryota, Viridiplantae, Streptophyta, Magnoliopsida, Poales, Poaceae. The record is from Rfam.